AGAACGAACGCUGGCGGCAUGCCUAACACAUGCAAGUCGAACGAGACCUUCGGGUCUAGUGGCGCACGGGUGCGUAACGCGUGGGAAUCUGCCCUUAGGUACGGAAUAACAGUGAGAAAUUACUGCUAAUACCGUAUGAUGUCUUCGGACCAAAGAUUUAUCGCCUAGGGAUGAGCCCGCGUUGGAUUAGCUAGUUGGUGGGGUAAAGGCCUACCAAGGCGACGAUCCAUAGCUGGUCUGAGAGGAUGAUCAGCCACACUGGGACUGAGACACGGCCCAGACUCCUACGGGAGGCAGCAGUGGGGAAUAUUGGACAAUGGGCGAAAGCCUGAUCCAGCAAUGCCGCGUGAGUGAAGAAGGCCUUGGGUUGUAAAGCUCUUUUACCCGGAAGAUAAUGACUGUACCGGGAGAAUAAGCCCGGCUAACUCCGCGCCAGCAGCCGC
RNAcentral lists this ribosomal RNA (443 nucleotides) under uncultured bacterium. RNAcentral describes it as "SSU rRNA". It matches the Rfam family "Bacterial small subunit ribosomal RNA", at positions 26 to 518 of the family's 1533-position model. The record is from RNAcentral.